Long non-coding RNA from Dendronephthya gigantea, 1278 nucleotides. RefSeq lists it as uncharacterized. The record is from RefSeq and is a predicted model, not a curated record. The transcript has 3 exons. NCBI's taxonomy places the organism in Eukaryota, Metazoa, Cnidaria, Anthozoa, Malacalcyonacea, Nephtheidae.
GUUGACUGUUGCGGCGUUGCGCGAAUUCUUCGAUUUCUUUCUUACUAACUAUAGGCUUGCUAAAUAUGUAUCCAUUGCCAGUAAGGCAGCAUUGACUGGCUAUAAUUUGAAUGCUGUUGUUAUAACAUGAGCUUGUUAUAUAUUAUAUUGAUACUGAAUAUGAAAUUUGUUUAAAAUUAAGGUCUAGCUAGCUAGAUUCUAGAAGUUGAUUCAUAAAUCUCUUCUAAUUUUAGGGCCAAUUCUUCAAAGUUAUAUGGUACUUCUUAGGCACUGGGUAUGGAAUACCAUGAAAAAUGUGUUCACAACAACAUAUUAUCAGAUGGAUCUGGAUUAUCCACCUGAACAUGAGAUAAGUCUCACAUUUCUGCAUUACAUGGUGUUUGUUGAUAUAGCUGUGCUAAGCCUUUUAUUGUUUAUAUUUUAGGGCCAUCUCAAUGUUGUUAAGCCAUUUGCAAGGGGAAAACAUUUUGCAAACUGAGGACUCUGAAUUCAUAAGGUUUUCAAAGAGACAAAAUUACUGGUGGACAUUACCGCAAAAUAAUUUUCUGGUCAGUGAUGGUGAAAUAUGGGGACAAGGCAACUCAAUGGAUGGCCUGAAAUUUGGCAGUCUCAAUCAGAAGUGCCUGGACAAAGUAAGACAGUACAAAAAAAUAUCAAUGUCUACAGAACUAAAAGACUAAAAAGAUGAACAUUAACGAACUUUAUCUUUAAGAUGAACUUUAUCUGGGGUAAUAUUUGUCUUAUAUUUUGAUAGAGUAAUUUUUUAUGUAACGCAAAAAUAAACAUUAUUUAAUACAAUUUACCAUGUUUGUGUUGUGUUUUUUAUCUAAUCAAUUUAGAUAUUUUGUUUAAGAUCAAGCUUUGAUCCUGCAUUCCUAGAAUCCUAAAAGGAUCUUUAGGAACUUAUAAGAUCCUGCCUAGGAUCCUAAAAGAAUAUUUAGGAAUUUAUAAGAUCCUGCCUAGGAUCUGAAAAAAAUAUCUAGGAAAUUAUAAGAUCCUGCCUAGGAUCCUAAAAGAAUAUUUAGGAAAUUAUAAGAUCCUGCUUAGGAUCCUAAUUAAGAUACUUGUAGGAUCCUAUAGGAAUCUUUAAAAUCCUACUUAAGAUCUUAUUUAAGAUCCUUUAAGAUCUUAUAGGAUCUUAUAGGAUCCUAUAGGAUCUUAAUGUAAGAUCCUAUAAGAUCUUAUAGGAUCCUAUAGGAUUGUAUUGUAAGAUCUUAUGCAAGAUCUUAUGCAAGAUCUUAAUAAGAUCUUAUAUAAGAUCCUAACUAGGAUUUCUAC